Molecule: ribosomal RNA, 733 nt
Filed under: uncultured bacterium
Lineage: Bacteria
Description: bacterial SSU rRNA
Rfam family: Bacterial small subunit ribosomal RNA
Source: RNAcentral
UCGAGCCGAGAACCUGGGCUCCGGCCCAGGGGAAAGCGGCGAACGGGUGAGUAACACGUGGGUAACCUGCCCUCGGCACCGGGAUAGCCCGGGGAAACUCGGAUUAAUACCGGACAGCCUCAUGAGCUUUCGGGCGCAUGAGAAAAGGUGGCUUCGGCUUCCGGCUGAGGAUGGGCCCGCGGCCGAUUAGCUUGUUGGUGAGGUAAUGGCUCACCAAGGCUCCGAUCGGUAGCUGGUCUGAGAGGACGAUCAGCCACACUGGGACUGAGACACGGCCCAGACUCCUACGGGAGGCAGCAGUGGGGAAUCUUGCGCAAUGGGCGAAAGCCUGACGCAGCGACGCCGCGUGCGAGAAGAAGGCCUUCGGGUUGUAAACCGCUUUCAGGAGGGACGAGGCCACUCAGGUUGAUAGCCGAGAGGGUGACGGUACCUCCAGAAGAAGCCCCGGCUAACUACGUGCCAGCAGCCGCGGUAAUACGUAGGGGGCUAGCGUUGUCCGGAUUUAUUGGGCGUAAAGAGCGCGUAGGCGGCCAGGUAAGUCCGACGUGAAAUCUGGAGGCUCAACCUCCAGCGGUCGUUGGAAACUACUUGGCUAGAGUCCGGAAGAGGAGAGUGGAAUUCCUGGUGUAGCGGUGAAAUGCGCAGAUAUCAGGAAGAACACCGAUGGCGAAAGCAGCUCUCUGGGACGGUACUGACGCUGAGGCGCGAAAGCGUGGGGAGCGAACAGGAUUAG